AAGAAAGUUAGCAAAAAUCUGGGUAGUUUAUUAUCUUUGAACAAGACGUCGAUUCAGAUCUAAUUUGUUUGAAAAUUCGGGCGAUGCGUUCAAACUGAUGUCAUAGAGAGACAGAGGGGAAAAAAUAGGUAUAAAAAUAAAUAGUUUUUAUAAUUUUUAUGGGUAGAGUCCAUGAUUACAUGACAUAAAAAUAAUUUAAUUUGUCAUUUAAAAUUUAUUUUAUUGAUAAAUGUAAUUGAGUGAUUUUUUAAGAUAAAAGUCUUAAGUUGAGUGAUUUUAUUGAUACAAAACAAAGUUCAAUGACUUUACUAGAUAAUUUCUCAUAGUUCAAUAACCUUUUAAGAUAUUAACUC
Molecule: long non-coding RNA, 353 nt
Filed under: Solanum tuberosum (potato)
Lineage: Eukaryota; Viridiplantae; Streptophyta; Magnoliopsida; Solanales; Solanaceae
Description: long non-coding RNA (STUB_LNC003718)
Source: RNAcentral